CACGUAGGGCGCAAGCGUUGUCCGGAAUUAUUGGGCGUAAAGAGCUCGUAGGCGGUCUGUUGCGUCUGCUGUGAAAACUCGGGGCUUAACCCCGAGCCUGCAGUGGAUACGGGCAGACUAGAGGUAGGUAGGGGAGAAUGGAAUUCCCGGUGUAGCGGUGAAAUGCGCAGAUAUCGGGAGGAACACCGGUGGCGAAGGCGGGUCUCUGGACAGUUCCUGACACUGAGGCACGAAGGCCAGGGGAGCAAACGGG
This 253-nucleotide ribosomal RNA is filed under the name uncultured bacterium. RNAcentral describes it as "partial 16S ribosomal RNA". It matches the Rfam family "Bacterial small subunit ribosomal RNA", at positions 524 to 776 of the family's 1533-position model. The record is from RNAcentral.